RNAcentral lists this small nucleolar RNA (138 nucleotides) under Echinops telfairi (small Madagascar hedgehog). Lineage: Eukaryota; Metazoa; Chordata; Mammalia; Afrosoricida; Tenrecidae. The record is from RNAcentral.
GACCUCCCAGGAUCGCACCUGGAGAAUAGCUCGUAUUCUGCCAGCUUGGGAGACGGGAGGGAAAACAAGCCUGUCAGAGACCCAUUCCACUUCCAGUUUGCUCAGUAGCUGGUGAUUGGAAGAGACUCUGUGACAGUG